RNAcentral lists this ribosomal RNA (476 nucleotides) under uncultured bacterium. Its description in RNAcentral is "SSU rRNA". It matches the Rfam family "Bacterial small subunit ribosomal RNA", at positions 26 to 518 of the family's 1533-position model. The record is from RNAcentral.
AGAAUCAACGCUGGCGGCGUGCCUAACACAUGCAAGUCGAACGAGAAAGUGGAGCAAUCCAUGAGUAAAGUGGCGACCGGGUGAGUAACACGUGACUAACCUACCCUAGAGUGGGGAAUAACUUCGGGAAAACCGAGGCUAAUACCGCAUAACAUCGCAGAGGGAAGCUCUUUGCGAUCAAAGGAGUAAUUCGCUCAAGGAGGGGGUCGCGGCUGAUUAGCUAGUUGGUGAGGUAACGGCCCACCAAGGCUAAGAUCAGUAUCCGGCCUGAGAGGGCGCACGGACACACUGGAACUGAAACACGGUCCAGACUCCUACGGGAGGCAGCAGUGGGGAAUUUUGCGCAAUGGGGGAAACCCUGACGCAGCAACGCCGCGUGGAGGAUGAAGUCCCUUGGGAUGUAAACUCCUUUCGAUCGGGACGAUUAUGACGGUACCGGAAGAAGAAGCACCGGCUAACUCUGUGCCAGCAGCCGC